This 472-nucleotide ribosomal RNA is filed under the name uncultured bacterium. RNAcentral's name for it is "bacterial SSU rRNA". It matches the Rfam family "Bacterial small subunit ribosomal RNA", at positions 773 to 1248 of the family's 1533-position model. The record is from RNAcentral.
AGGGAAUAGAUACCCGGGUAGUCCACGCCCUAAACGAUGUCAACUGGGUGUUGGGGAAGCGAUUCCUUGGUACCGUAGCUAAACGCGUGAAAGUUGACCGCCUGGGGAGUACGGCCGCAAGGUUAAAACUCAAAGGAAUUGACGGGGACCCGCACAAGCGGUGGAUGAUGUGGAUUAAUUCGAUGCAACGCGAACAACCUUACCUACCCUUGACAUGUCCGGAACCCUGCUGAGAGGUGGGGUGCCCGAAACGGGAAUCGGAACACAGGUGCUGCAUGGCUGUCGUCAGCUCGUGUCGUGAGAUGUUGGGUUAAGUCCCGCAACGAGCGCAACCCUUGUCCCUAGUUGCUACGCAAGGGCACUCUAGGGAGACUGCCGGUGACAAACCGGAGGAAGGUGGGGAUGACGUCAAGUCCUCAUGGCCCUUAUGGGUAGGGCUUCACACGUCAUACAAUGGACGGUACAGAGGGUA